GAAUUCCAACUCACAUGGGCUAACAACCAGUCUCUCUACUGCUCCUUCCUAUCAGCAGCUAAUCAGAACAAAGGAAAGGUAGCAGCAAGAAUUGCACUGCUGAGGCCCCCAGAGAGUUCCUUUGAGCAGUCACUGCCUUAUGCCUCUGAGCCUGGCUCGCCUGCACAUUCUUCUCUUCCCCAAGCUUCAUGUUGCCCGUGGCUCAGGAGAACCCACCAUCACCAUGGGGAUACACAGCGAGUCACAGGCACUGAGAAGAAAUUCUGAGAAGGCCUCCAAGGUGUCUUCCUUCUUGGCGCUGGGAGCUGUGAAUGGAUUCUCCUGGGCUGAAGGCUCACUCUGGAAUUCUAUAGCCAACCUAAGAAAUCAAUGUCAUGAUCUUCGGAAGCAGCAGGCUGCAGUACACUGACCAGGGGCCUCCUGCUCAGCAAGGUCUGGGAAAACUCCGCACAUCGGUUUAGCAUGGCUUCUAGCAAAGCCUGCAGUUCCCCAUACUGCACAGGUGGAGUGCUCUGAUGGUCCUUCCUGCAUCCAGAGAGACAAAAGCAGGUUCACGGCUCCUCACCACUGCCUCGAUCCCUACCACAGGAUGACAUGACAGAGGCCAGGGAUCAGUGCUCUCUUGUUCCUUCACUGCCCACCCAGAAGAGGUGACAGGCUCUGGACAGCAUGUAUGAGUUGGAGGCCACUCGUGGAGGGACCCUGACAAGAUUGAGCUAAUGGGACCAGACUGUGAGAUCUUUGAGGCCGGGCCCUCAUCUGAUUCAUCUCCCCAACACCCAGUACAAGCCAUAGCACAGUCCCUGGCACUUGAGGUUUUCAGUGAACACCUACUGACCAAGCCAUAUUUUCUCCACUUGGCAUACUCCUGUUCCUCCUUGGAGAAUCAGGUCAAAACCCCACUCCUCCAAAAAGCCUUCCCUGAUCCAUUCAGAGCUGUGAACCUCCCCUGAGCCCCCACAGCUCCUGUGCUUCCCUCUAGCAGAGCUCUAAUCAGCUCAUAAUGAAAUUUCCCUUUGCAUCUCUCUCCCUUUUCUGAGGGCAAGAACCAAUGUUAUUUGUUAUCUCUAAAUCUCCAGGUCCCAGCCUGGUGCCUGGCAUAAACUAGGAAUAUAAAAUGAAUGACUGAAUGUGCCUACUCUAAAAAUCUAGAUGUGGUAUAAUAAGUCCCAGACAGUGCACUCACGCCUGUAAUCCCAGCACUUUGGGAGGCCGAGGCAGGCAGAUCACCUGAGGUCAGGAGUUCAAGACCAGCCUGGCCAACAUGGAGAGACCCCCGUCUCUACUAAAAAUACAAAAAAAUUAGCCAGGUGUGCUGGCAGUCGCCUCUAAUCCCAGCUACCUGGGAGGCUGAGGCAAGAGAAGUGCUUGAACCUGGGAGGCAGAGGCAGAGGUUGCCGUGAUCCAAGAUUGUGCCAUUGCACUCCAGCCUGGGUGACAGAGCAGGACUCCGUCUCAAAAAAAGAAAAAGUCGCCUGGCGUGGUGGCUCAUGCCUGUAAUCCAGCACUUUGGGAGGCCAAGGUGGGUGGAUCACAAGGUCAGGAGUUUGAGACCAGCUUGGACAACAUGGUAAAACCCCAUCUCUACUAAAGAUACAAAAAAUUAGCUGGGCGUGGUGGCACAUGCCUGUAAUCCCAGUUACUCGGGAGGCUGAGGCAGGAGAAUUGCUUGAACCUGGGAGGCAGAGGUGGCAGUGAGCCGAGAUCACGCCAUUGUACUCCAGCCUGGGUGACAGGGUGAGAUUCCAUCUCAAAAAAAAAAAAAAAAAAAAGUCCCAGACAAGGAAGGACAGUUUCAAGAAACUUUGAAAGAAUAAAUUAGCAAAACUUAGAGACUACCUGGAUGGUUAGAUAUCUGCGGCAUGGGAAAGAACUAAAUCUAAGGUUGAGUAACACUGUUUAGAGUUGUUGUUAACAUGCAACAGGAAUUCAUUUAGUGGCUAAAAGAAGUGUCCUUCCCUUGCUGAAGCGUCUAAACAUAUAUACUUCCGAUAAUCAGCGAACAGCAGAACAUUUGGAUAUCAAUACUUGCAUAUGAAAUCUGGUAAUGAGUUUGGGCUGAUGAAAUGUCUAGACUCAGUGCUCCCCUCCAAGGUGGAGGCUAGCCCCCCAUCACUGCGGCUGCUACCCAAGUGCAAACUGCCGUCCACCCAACCCAAAGCUAGUACAGGACCCUUACUACCAACCAUACACCGUGUGGCACUUGGAAAAAAAGAGUGGCUCUUCUACCAGGAGUGUCAAGCAGUUACAGCUGGACCAGACGAGCACUUCACUGGAAGAAGAAAGAUGCUCAAAGAGGAACUCUAACAAGGGAGAGGAUGAGAAAACAAUAAAUGACAGCCAUGUGAUCACGAUCCCUUAACUGAUGCUAAGGCCUUGGAUUUAUUCAGCACCUUACUCUUGCUACUUCAUCUGUUCACAUAUCCUCUCCAUGAGUCAUGAUCAUCAAUCCACUAAUAAACCUGGAAAGUGCCCUUGGUUAUGGUUUAACCUCUUCUUUUUAACAGGUGGGGAAACUGAGUCCCAGAGAAGAGGCACUAUUAGUGGCGGAAGUAGAGUUGGAACUUAAGUCUCCUAAUUCUCAGAAUGGGCAGUGGCGUGGAUGAAGGAAAAAGAGUUUUUAGAGUCAGAGAGACUUGACUUUUUAUCCCAUCUCUGCCAAUGACUAGGCCUGCCAAUUAUUUCAUUCUCUGAGCCUCAAUUUCCUUAUCUAUAAAAUAGUGAAGAUGAAGACCUAAAUGUGGUAACAUUUGCAAUGCAUCUCAUAACAGUCCCUGCUCAUAAUAGUCCCUUGAAAAAUAUUGUUUCCUGUUGCCUACCUGGUCCACAGGUCUUUUCACCACCCCACAUUAGGUUUUUAUUCAUAGAUGACCAAAUAAAUGACAAAAAUCGGUAACAAAUUGCUCAAGGUCAUACAAGAAAUCUGUAGCAAUAGGAUUCAGAUGUUAUGAGACAUAGUUCAUAGGGUCUGUCAUACACAAUUGAACCUGUCACCACCCCAUCCUUCUAGUAUAGGGAGGAGAAGGUUAGAAGUGUUCCCCUACCUGGGAUGUCAGCGUGGAUGAAGGCUGACGCAUGCUUUGCUGGGGAGUGGACAAGCACCGCAGUUAUACAGUGAGCACUGGCCACCUGCAGGGUUUCAUCUCUAGAGAGGAGAAGCUGGAGAAACAGGCAGCAAAAAGUACCCCAGUCACACCACGAAUAGGACCAGAAAAACUGGCCUAGGUGCCUCAGGGCAAUAGCCUAAUUCAUUUUCGAUCCUUCCUGUCCCACAUGGCACCAGGCACAAGGAUGGUGGUCAGGAGAGCAGUUAUGGAUUAUGGGAAGGGGUCUCCGUGAACAGCAGCAGGUGAGAAAAAUAAGGAAAGAACACAAUGUAAAACUCACCAGGGGCACUCAAAGAACACUGUAACUGUUAUCACCAAUAAGUGCUCAAGCCUUCAUUAACAAAAGUACUUUCAAAGUCAUCUGGUUUAUUUAUUUAUGAAACAGGUCUCACUCUGUUGCCCAGGCUGGAGUGCAGUGGCAUGAUCAUGGCUCAUGGCUCACUGCAACCUCUGCCUCCAGGUAUCCAGCGAUCUUCUCAUUUCAGCCUCCUGAGUAGCGGGGACUACAGGCACAUGCUACCAUGCC
RNAcentral lists this long non-coding RNA (3633 nucleotides) under Homo sapiens (human). RNAcentral's name for it is "HSALNT0278263". The record is from RNAcentral. Lineage: Eukaryota; Metazoa; Chordata; Mammalia; Primates; Hominidae.